RNAcentral lists this ribosomal RNA (492 nucleotides) under uncultured bacterium. RNAcentral's name for it is "partial 16S ribosomal RNA". It matches the Rfam family "Bacterial small subunit ribosomal RNA", at positions 29 to 507 of the family's 1533-position model. The record is from RNAcentral.
AGUGAAUGCUGGCGGUAGGCCUAACACAUGCAAGUCGAACGGCAGCACAGUAAGAGCUUGCUCUUACGGGUGGCGAGUGGCGGACGGGUGAGGAAUACAUCAGAAUCUACUUUUUCGUGGGGGAUAACGUAGGGAAACUUACGCUAAUACCGCAUACGACCUACGGGUGAAAGCAGGGGAUCUUCGGACCUUGCGCGAUUGAAUGAGCCGAUGUCGGAUUAGCUAGUUGGCGGGGUAAAGGCCCACCAAGGCGACGAUCCGUAGCUGGUCUGAGAGGAUGAUCAGCCACACUGGAACUGAGACACGGUCCAGACUCCUACGGGAGGCAGCAGUGGGGAAUAUUGGACAAUGGGCGCAAGCCUGAUCCAGCCAUACCGCGUGGGUGAAGAAGGCCUUCGGGUUGUAAAGCCCUUUUGUUGGGAAAGAAAAGCAGCAGGUUAAUACCCCGCUGUUCUGACGGUACCCAAAGAAUAAGCACCGGCUAACUUCGUG